AAGCAAGAAACUUACAGUAUUAUGGUUUCGGCCCAUAAUUAGGCGUUCUACACACCCUUGCUUU
This 64-nucleotide transfer RNA is filed under the name Unio tumidus. RNAcentral describes it as "tRNA-Arg". Lineage: Eukaryota; Metazoa; Mollusca; Bivalvia; Unionida; Unionidae. The record is from RNAcentral.